GUUAUUAUUUCGGCGUUACCUCCACUAAAAUUGGAACGAUACAAAGAAAAUGAGCAUAACUACUGCUUCAAGAUUACACGCUAAAUCGUCAACGGUUACUAAUAAUU
This is a non-coding RNA of Schistosoma rodhaini, 107 nucleotides long. The record is from Rfam. Lineage: Eukaryota; Metazoa; Platyhelminthes; Trematoda; Strigeidida; Schistosomatidae.